GCCGGGCACGGUGCUGCACACCUGUAAUCCCAGCGGCUGGGGAGGCUGAGGCAGGAGGAUUGUGAGUUCAGAGCCAGCCUCAGCAAAAGCAAGGCCUUCAGCUCCUCAGUGAGACCCUGUCUCUA
This 125-nucleotide small RNA is filed under the name Marmota monax (woodchuck). Lineage: Eukaryota; Metazoa; Chordata; Mammalia; Rodentia; Sciuridae. The record is from RNAcentral.